Molecule: long non-coding RNA, 237 nt
Filed under: Oryza brachyantha (malo sina)
Lineage: Eukaryota; Viridiplantae; Streptophyta; Magnoliopsida; Poales; Poaceae
Description: long non-coding RNA (OBRA_LNC001951)
Source: RNAcentral
UGAGGCGCUUAUCUAAGUAAUUUUUUUUCACGCAGAAGCCUCUUGCAAACCAGUUUGGUUUAAUUAGGGUCAGGAUGCAUCAGGAAUGGAGCCUUCUCUCCAAGCAUUUUUGUGGUAGGCUAGCCAGUUCUUGGCUGGUACUGAUCGGACAAUGUUGCAAGACUGCUAAUUCGAUCUUGCUCGAGUGAUUUAGUUAGCAAACAAUGGGUAGGAAAGAUAUCUGUUAAGGCAUUAAAC